This 69-nucleotide transfer RNA is filed under the name Bos taurus (domestic cattle). It matches the Rfam family "tRNA". From Rfam's summary of the family: Transfer RNA (tRNA) molecules are approximately 80 nucleotides in length. Their secondary structure includes four short double-helical elements and three loops (D, anti-codon, and T loops). Further hydrogen bonds mediate the characteristic L-shaped molecular structure. tRNAs have two regions of fundamental functional importance: the anti-codon, which is responsible for specific mRNA codon recognition, and the 3' end, to which the tRNAs corresponding amino acid is attached (by aminoacyl-tRNA synthetases). tRNAs cope with the degeneracy of the genetic code in two manners: having more than one tRNA (with a specific anti-codon) for a particular amino acid; and 'wobble' base-pairing, i.e. permitting non-standard base-pairing at the 3rd anti-codon position. Lineage: Eukaryota; Metazoa; Chordata; Mammalia; Artiodactyla; Bovidae. RNAcentral also lists the same sequence under 4 other names. The record is from Rfam by way of RNAcentral.
CCUGAUAGCUCAGUUGGUAAAGAAUCUGCCUGCAAUGCAGGAGACCCUGGUUUGAUUCCUGGGUCGGGA